RNAcentral lists this ribosomal RNA (467 nucleotides) under uncultured bacterium. RNAcentral describes it as "partial 16S ribosomal RNA". It matches the Rfam family "Bacterial small subunit ribosomal RNA", at positions 28 to 507 of the family's 1533-position model. The record is from RNAcentral.
GACGAACGCUGGCGGCGUGCUUAACACAUGCAAGUCGAACGGAAAGGCCCUGCUUUUGUGGGGUGCUCGAGUGGCGAACGGGUGAGUAACACGUGAGUAACCUGCCCUUGACUUUGGGAUAACUUCAGGAAACUGGGGCUAAUACCGGAUAGGAGCUCCUGCUGCAUGGUGGGGGUUGGAAAGUUUCGGCGGUUGGGGAUGGACUCGCGGCUUAUCAGCUUGUUGGUGGGGUAGUGGCUUACCAAGGCUUUGACGGGUAGCCGGCCUGAGAGGGUGACCGGCCACAUGGGAACUGAGAUACGGCCCAGACUCCUACGGGAGGCAGCAGUGGGAAUAUUGCACAAUGGGCGGAAGCCUGAUGCAGCAACGCCGCGUGCGGGAUGACGGCCUUCGGGUUGUAAACCGCUUUCGCCUGUGACGAAGCGUGAGUGACGGUAAUGGGUAAAGAAGCACCGGCUAACUACGUG